Molecule: ribosomal RNA, 86 nt
Filed under: Algoriphagus boseongensis
Lineage: Bacteria; Pseudomonadati; Bacteroidota; Cytophagia; Cytophagales; Cyclobacteriaceae
Also listed under: 1 other name
Source: RNAcentral
CCUCUUCCCAUCCCGAACAGAGAAGUUAAGCCCUGCAGCGCCGAUGGUACUGGGGUUACACCCGGGAGAGUAGGUCGCCGCCACAU